Molecule: long non-coding RNA, 290 nt
Filed under: Chinchilla lanigera (long-tailed chinchilla)
Lineage: Eukaryota; Metazoa; Chordata; Mammalia; Rodentia; Chinchillidae
Description: lncRNA (ENSCLAG00000025926.1)
Source: RNAcentral
GUGUGGGUCUCGCUCGUACCCGGACUCCUGCUGACGUCCUGUCUUGAACUGAAUAACCUGUCAACACAUGAGAAUCAUUUGCAGUGACUGGGGAGCACUGUGAUUUAGGAGCAGGGGAGGGAUUCUUGGCGAGACCGGAAAACUGCCACUCCAUGGUUCAUUUUGGAGCUGCCACUCAGCCAGACCAAAUGGGAAACUUCCUGCUUAGAAACAAUCGGGACAUUAAUGCUCAGAUGAGUGAAGACACACAUGUCUCCACUAAUAUCCCAGGGAAGAAGCCUGUCUCAUAG